This 611-nucleotide ribosomal RNA is filed under the name bacterium. RNAcentral's name for it is "bacterial SSU rRNA". It matches the Rfam family "Bacterial small subunit ribosomal RNA", at positions 80 to 706 of the family's 1533-position model. The record is from RNAcentral.
AAACACGGUAACCGAAACAAGGGGGGUACCCGUAAAUACACGUGGGCAACCUGCCCUCAGCUUUGGGAUAACUCUCGGAAACGGGUGCUAAUACCGAAUGUUGACAUUCUGCCGCAUGGUGGUUUGUUGAAAGUUUUUCGGCUGGGGAUGGGCCCGCGGCCUAUCAGCUUGUUGGUGGGGUGAUGGCCUACCAAGGCGACGACGGGUAGCCGGCCUGAGAGGGCGACCGGCCACACUGGAACUGAGACACGGUCCAGACUCCUACGGGAGGCAGCAGUGGGGAAUAUUGCGCAAUGGGCGGAAGCCUGACGCAGCGACGCCGCGUGAGGGAUGAAGGUCUUCGGAUUGUAAACCUCUUUCAGUAGGGACGAAUUUGACGGUACCUGCAGAAGAAGCACCGGCUAACUACGUGCCAGCAGCCGCGGUAAUACGUAGGGUGCGAGCGUUGUCCGGAAUUAUUGGGCGUAAAGAGCUCGUAGGCGGUUCGUCGCGUCGAAUGUGAAAACCCGGGGCUCAACUCCGGGCCUGCAUUUGAUACGGGCGGACUAGAGUUCGGUAGGGGAGACUGGAAUUCCUGGUGUAGCGGUGAAAUGCGCAGAUAUCAGGAGGAA